AUUGAACGCUGGCGGCAGGCUUAACACAUGCAAGUCGAGCGGGGUGAUGGUGCUUGCACUAUCACUUAGCGGCGGACGGGUGAGUAAUGCUUAGGAAUCUGCCUAUUAGUGGGGGACAACAUCUCGAAAGGGAUGCUAAUAUCGCAUACGUCCUACGGGAGAAAGCAGGGGAUCACUUGUGACCUUGCGCUAAUAGAUGAGCCUAAGUCGGAUUAGCUAGUUGGUGGGGUAAAGGCCUACCAAGGCGACGAUCUGUAGCGGGUCUGAGAGGAUGAUCCGCCACACUGGGACUGAGACACGGCCCAGACUCCUACGGGAGGAAGCAGUGGGGAAUAUUGGACAAUGGGGGGAACCCUGAUCCAGCCAUGCCGCGUGUGUGAAGAAGGCCUUAUGGUUGUAAAGCACUUUAAGCGAGGAGGAGGCUCUUUUGGUUAAUACCCAAGAUGAGUGGACGUUACUCGCAGAAUAAGCACCGGCUAACUCUGUGCCAGCAGCCGCCGUAA
Molecule: ribosomal RNA, 503 nt
Filed under: uncultured bacterium
Lineage: Bacteria
Description: partial 16S ribosomal RNA
Rfam family: Bacterial small subunit ribosomal RNA
Source: RNAcentral